Molecule: non-coding RNA, 130 nt
Organism: Thalictrum thalictroides
Lineage: Eukaryota; Viridiplantae; Streptophyta; Magnoliopsida; Ranunculales; Ranunculaceae
Source: the annotation of a GenBank genome assembly
UUUGAGGGGAAUGUUGUCUGGCUCGAGGCCAUCAUCAACUCUAUCAAUAGAUCUCAAUAGCAAAUUUGAUCUGAAUCUUUAUGCAUGAUUUUAUGUUGAUGACUUCGGACCAGGCUUCAUUCCCCCCAAU